RNAcentral lists this ribosomal RNA (382 nucleotides) under uncultured eukaryote. RNAcentral describes it as "partial 18S ribosomal RNA". It matches the Rfam family "Eukaryotic small subunit ribosomal RNA", at positions 592 to 976 of the family's 1831-position model. The record is from RNAcentral.
UGUAAGCGUAUACCAAAGUUGUUGCAGUUAAAACGCUCGUAGUCGGAAUUUGGCAGUUCCGGAAGUGUGCACGUCGUGUGCGCACUUUGCGGGGACUGCUUUUGCGGUCUUGCGUAGGAUGAGGCACUUUCAUUAGUGAACGUCCUCACGCAACCACUCUUUACUGUGAGAAAAUCAGAGUGCUCAAAGCAGGCAUUUGCCGUGAAUGUAUUAGCAUGGAAUAAUAGAAUAGGACUCGGUUCUAUUUUGUUGGUUUGUUGGGACUGAGUAAUGAUUAAGAGGGACAGUUGGGGGCAUUUGUAUUCCGGCGCUAGAGGUGAAAUUCUUAGAUUGCCGGAAGACAAACUGCUGCGAAAGCGUCUGCCAAGGAUGUUUUCAUUGA